ACGCUGGCGGCAGGCCUAACACAUGCAAGUCGAGCGGUAACAGGAAGUAGCUUGCUACUUCGCUGACGAGCGGCGGACGGGUGAGUAAUGCCUGGGAAUAUGCCUUGAUGUGGGGGAUAACUAUUGGAAACGAUAGCUAAUACCGCAUAAUGCCUACGGGCCAAAGAGGGGGAUCUUCGGACCUCUCGCGUCAAGAUUAGCCCAGGUGGGAUUAGCUAGUUGGUGGGGUAAAGGCUCACCAAGGCGACGAUCCCUAGCUGGUCUGAGAGGAUGAUCAGCCACACUGGAACUGAGACACGGUCCAGACUCCUACGGGAGGCAGCAGUGGGGAAUAUUGCACAAUGGGGGAAACCCUGAUGCAGCCAUGCCGCGUGUAUGAAGAAGGCCUUCGGGUUGUAAAGUACUUUCAGCAGUGAGGAAGGUGGUAGUGUUAAUAGCRYUAUCAUUUGACGUUAGCUGCAGAAGAAGCACCGGCUAACUCCGUGCCAGCAGCCGCGGUAAUACGGAGGGUGCGAGCGUUAAUCGGAAUUACUGGGCGUAAAGCGCAUGCAGGCGGUCUGUUAAGCAAGAUGUGAAAGCCCGGGGCUCAACCUCGGAACAGCAUUUUGAACUGGCAGACUAGAGUCUUGUAGAGGGGGGUAGAAUUUCAGGUGUAGCGGUGAAAUGCGUAGAGAUCUGAAGGAAUACCGGUGGCGAAGGCGGCCCCCUGGACA
This 713-nucleotide ribosomal RNA is filed under the name Vibrio sp. 13E06. RNAcentral's name for it is "bacterial SSU rRNA". It matches the Rfam family "Bacterial small subunit ribosomal RNA", at positions 33 to 735 of the family's 1533-position model. Lineage: Bacteria; Pseudomonadati; Pseudomonadota; Gammaproteobacteria; Vibrionales; Vibrionaceae. The record is from RNAcentral.